GACAAUUUACACGCACACACACACACACACACACACACACACUGCUGACGCUUGUGCGAGCGAGCGUCAGUGUGCUCUCUACUGGCGCUGGCUUUGCAGUUGUUUCGCUGGAGAGAUAGAGACGGCAGUAGCUACGCACCAGCAGCAGCAAGCGGAGGAAGGAGGGAGAGAGAGAGAGCUCUGCCGCGGUAGCGCUCGCAGCUGUCAGCGCUCACUGCCGCAUACGCACAGACUUGCGCACGUGUACCCUAUCUGAUAGGUAAGGCUGGACAGUGGGAAUGAGGUCUGCGAUAGCGCUGCAUGCUGCGCGAAGGUGCACCCGACUCACGCAGUUGCCAGUCAUGAGCGCAUAUGUGAUGCCUCGUCGCUGCUGCGCCUCCACCUCCUCCUCUUCGCCUCUGUCCGUCUCAGCCGUGGACGGGCCAACUCUGCACCCAAGCGUCGCAUCUGCUCACAUGCACGCCAGCUGCCUCCUGGCGCAGCUCGUGAGCGAGCAGAUGCCAUCCUCUCUGGAAGCGUUGGUGUCGCUGACGGAAGAGUGGUGGGGGUUAGUCGAGCGGCUGGUGCAACUGCCGGUGGUUGCUGCCGAUCUGGGCCAGCUGCUGGUGGAAACCGCACACGCGGAAGAGGUCCAGCGUGAUCAUGGCAGCGCUGGGCUCGAGGAAAAGGCUAUUGCGCAGUGGGAGGAGUGGGUCUGGACCAGUGUUCCCCGCACGGUGCCUGCCCCUGCUGCGCGCGAGGCCGCUGUAAGCGAAGAUGCUUUGCCUGUUUCUCCUCCCGACAUCCUCUCCUUUACGCAGUUUGCGGACCUUCUGCACUCUUACGAUCGCUAUCGUCUCGGGGUCCGCUGGGGUGCGUCCCGCCCCAGUGGAGACUGGGCGUCACGUGGAGGGGCCGUCGCUGCCGCUGCCUACUACCGCCGACGUUACUUCCUCCACCCGUGGCAUGGUAUGCACUGCCCCGCCGGCGCGGCCGAGCAAAUGCCUUACGUGCAUGUUCUGCAAUGGAUGUUGGCGCGGAAGGGAAGCAGUGUCGAGGCGUCGCCAACCGCGGCAGAGCUGUGGGAGCGCCACCGCGCACUGGAACCAUUUCAACCAUCUUCGUCUUCUUUCAAGGCCUUGGAUGUGUGCUGCCAGAGCGGCUACGUGUCGGACUUGCUCAUUCGCGCUGGGGCCGGCGUCGUGGUGGCAGCCGAUGCCGACCCCACCGCACUCGCCAACGCAGAGUCUACGUAUCAUGAGUGCGUGCGUGAGGGCGGAGGCAGAAGCCGGAAUGCUGUGCUGUACACCCGCCGCUGUGAAGGGUUGCCUCGGCCAACGGCGGCGCGCGCCAGCCGCCGCAGCCCGUCCGCGCCAAAGAGAGGUGGUGCCGGUGCUGACGUUGGAGCUGGAGUGCAGUCGACGAGCGCGUCCGCGGCUGAGCGCCGGCGCCGGCGGGCCAGGGAAGAGGGACGAGGCUACAGCGGAUUGACCUGGCCCAGCGAGGAGAGAUCCAUGUCGGGCGCCGAGAGCGCCGACGCGGACGCUUCCGCUGGUCCAUUUGAUGUGCUGUACAUCCACCCUCCUAGCGCAGUAUCCAUCUGGCCGGUCGCAACGACGGAGCAGUUCAACCUGCGCAGAACGAUGUGGUGGCACAAGCUGAAUCACAGUGUGGAAGCCGAGGGGCUGGACGCAACUCUUCUCCUUCCGUAUCUCCCUUGCACUGCGGCGCCAGCACUCGCACGGCACAACCCUCUCGCCACGCGCUCCGGCCUGGAGCGGGCGCUUGAUGCGCUUCGUGCGGAUGUGACGGAGCGCAGCGCGGCUGCGUCCCCGUCUGGUGACGAGGCACUGCGUAGCGGCGCCCUCCUAGCCGAUGAAGGGUACGUAGUGCUAGUACUACCUCGAACCUAUGACACCGACCUCCUGCUGCGCGGCGAGAUGCUUGGGGCACCUUCGUUGGCGGACUGGGCGGUGUCGCAGCUGGACGGCUACUACGAUCUGAUCCUCCGCCGACGCUGUGGCGCGCACGCUCCCCCGUCGGCGAGCAACGCAGCGCAGUCGUCGAACGGGGUGGAUGGCAUGCUCUUAGGGGCCUUUCGUAAUGCGCAACGCCGAUUCGAGAGAGCCUCGAGUGGCGCGUCUGCACAGUGGGCUGCGGAGUUGCAGCGCAUCUCCCGGGAGGAGAUGUGGCAUGAUGUGCUAGUGCUGCGCAAGAGCCGGACAAUGGCCCGUCGGUGCGCCGCUCCGCAUACGGAGGGCUUGGGGCAGGACAGGGCGGCGGCCGCCGGCACGGUACAGUGGGAGGACUCUUUCGAGUACAACGAGUACUACCCUCGCGGUACGGUUCCACACACAAGCCACCACUGGACCGCCCUGGUGCCCACCUACUCGUAUCUCGAGGAGGACUUCUACGAGUCUCCGAGUGCCGCGCGCAACUUCUUGGCGGUGGGCUACCCCGUCUCAGCCAACUCAGCAGUGACCGCCGGCUAUGGCGUGCCGGUCGGCGCGACCCCAAGAGCCGCCGCAGCGGGGGAGCACAAUCCAGCAACCGAUGGUGUGAAAGAAGCUUCGCAUCUGGCGUCUGCGAACUUCCACACCGUCUUUGCGCAGGAGCUGCGCACGCGGCGCCGCUCGAAGCUGCGCAAGCUGGCCCUGAGUCCACUGGAGCAGCAGGAGUGGUAUAUCGAUGAGAAGCUGGUGAAAUCGAGUGCUGCCAAGCUGGAGCUGCUCAACGAACUCUCCAAGUGGGAUCUGAAGGACUACGAUAAGUGAAAGGGAGAGUUACGGAUGAGUGACGCACGAGCGCGUUGGAUGGAUCCCGUGCAUGUCAGUGUGCCUGUUUGUGUGUGUGCGUGCGCGGAGGGGGUUGAUAGCCUCUUCGGUCACUUCCUUAAUGCCAAUUGUGCGCGUCGUCUUCACAGAGUUCAGGCAAUGUUUUGUCUUGCUUGCUCGUGCCCAUGUGUGCGGGCAGUCUGCAACGGCGGUGCUGCGGAAGGCGGAUGUGCGGAUGGAUAGGAGGAGGGGGGUUGAACACCGCAGCAGGAGUCCACGCCGCCACCUCUUCGCUCCUCUCCGCCGUCUCCACCACACCGUCCGCAUUUCCUUGUGUGCCGGCUCUAAGCCUCUGCCACCCUGACACACAUGCGCAAAGGACCAGAGAAGGAAAAGAAUAUAUUAGCGUGGUUUGUGGUGCAACGAGAACACUUCAGUUGGCAUGCGUGUCAUCGUGCCGCGCGUCUUUG
Molecule: unclassified non-coding RNA, 3223 nt
Filed under: Leishmania donovani
Lineage: Eukaryota; Euglenozoa; Kinetoplastea; Trypanosomatida; Trypanosomatidae
Description: gene:LdHU3.34.0300(CDS-product:hypothetical_prote in_conserved)
Source: RNAcentral